Xyrichtys novacula (pearly razorfish) is the source of this 1014-nucleotide non-coding RNA. Lineage: Eukaryota; Metazoa; Chordata; Actinopteri; Labriformes; Labridae. The record is from the annotation of a GenBank genome assembly.
UCGAACAAUAUGAACAUGGCUACUCAGAAGGAGAUUCUGAAGAGGAUUGUCACCCCCGAACAACUCAAUCAUCGCCAAACCAACCAGUAACUUCCUUCCCAGCCCCACAGUGUGAAAAGUCCAUGUCUGAACCCAACCUAACAGAAUCAGUGCUUGCAUUGCAACCUGGUAAAAUGUCUCAGUCUGUUCAGACCCUUUUCCCAUAUGCUCCCACACUCUCUGCAACACAGGGUGAACCUAAGAGACCUGCUACUGUUCCACAAUUGAGAAAUGAGUCCCCAAUCCAAGUACCAUCAGGUUCACUUCCAUCAGCCUCCCUAACUAAUGUGCCCUUCCAGCAAGCUUAUUCCAACCCUGAACCUCAAAGAUUCGUCCCCUCAGUGUCACGUCCGGGGCCUUUCAUACCCACAACUGCUAGUCUGCCCCCUACUGACCCUCCAUUUACCAGGUCAGUAAUCAACCCUCCUUUAACAUUAACAGCACAGCCUAUGCAAAUACCACUCAAUGUUAAUGUUACACAGCCAUCUUAUGGCCCUCAUAGCCAAAUACAAUCAACCCAGAGGCCUCCACUCCAGCCGUAUACCAUUCAUCCAACGCCCAUACCUCCACCUCAAGUCUCAACCUAUCCUCAGCCAUCUGCUCACCAUCCAAGUUCUGCAGCUCCAUAUCAGUAUCAACAUUUCCCUCAACCUGUGCAGCAGCUUCAUACCCAAUAUCUUGCACCUCAGCCAGCCCCAAUCACUGGUGCCCCACAAGCUCUAGGAGCCCCCCUCAACGCAAGCUACUCCGUACCUAUGGCCUCUGCACACCAAAUCCGAUACACUUCACGUGUUGAAGGUCCAUCCUUCCCUUAUUUCACCCAAAAUGACCCCCAGGAAUUCCUAAUGUUAAAGAUGGCCUUAAAAAACCUUCUUCCUGUAGAAGAACCUGAAUUAUUUAAGUUCCAUAUCCUUUUGGAUCAUCUUCACCUCCCUUCAGCUAGACAUAUUGCCCUGUCUUGUGCUCACCACCCAC